UGCCGGUGUGGCGGAAUUGGCAGACGCGCGCGACUCAAAAUCGUGAGGGAAACCGUGGGGGUUCGAGUCCCUUCACCGGCAUCCA
This 85-nucleotide transfer RNA is filed under the name Paenibacillus sp. HMSSN-139. Its description in RNAcentral is "tRNA-Leu". It matches the Rfam family "tRNA". Rfam says of the family: Transfer RNA (tRNA) molecules are approximately 80 nucleotides in length. The record is from RNAcentral. Lineage: Bacteria; Bacillati; Bacillota; Bacilli; Caryophanales; Paenibacillaceae.